Molecule: long non-coding RNA, 1302 nt
Filed under: Corvus moneduloides (New Caledonian crow)
Lineage: Eukaryota; Metazoa; Chordata; Aves; Passeriformes; Corvidae
Description: lncRNA (ENSCMUG00000018981.1)
Source: RNAcentral
GUGGAAGUUUCUCUGGCAAGAGGAAAAAUACCUGUCCCAUAUCAGUGCUCACCUUUGCUGAAUGAGGCAGAUGUGGUGAUAGAAGGUGUGCAUAAGAAGAGGAGAGGCACAGAAUCCUUCUGAGUUGGUGCAGUAUCGACCACCGAGCAGAAUGGAAGUCAGAGAGAAAUUCCAAAGUGUUUGGAAAAAUCAUUAUAAUGUAUUGUCUGUAUCACUUUAUUCCUUAAUUAUGGUUGUGGUAGAGGAAAUAAUGGAGCUGGAAUUUAAAUGUCCUCAGGAAAAGUCAUUAAGGGUAUGGUAUGUUGCUUCUUACUUUUCCUGUCCAGCCUUCAUUACAUUUGUCCUGAGCUUGACCUCCCACCCCGCCUGCAUUCCCUGGGCUCGCUGUGUUGGGAAGUGCUCGUGCUACCGCAAGACUCAGAUCAUUUUUAGGGCAUUUUUACCUCCUGUGAUUUGGUGUGUGAUCCUCCUGUGCGAUGGCAGAUACAUCGACUGUGUGGUUUCAGAAAAUGAAGGAAACAACAUCCAAGGCAGAGCAGCUGAAUUACCCAGUGAGUUCUACACCAAAUCUCAGGUGUCAGGGCUGUUCAUUCUCACUGCUGUUGUCACUCUCUGUGGCCUGUGCCACGUGUUCCCCUGCUGGUUCUGCUGUAAAAAUGAAGAAGGACAUUGGAGAGAGGAGCUGCAGAGCCGAUUAGAGGAAGGAGCCAGGAAUCACAUUGAAGAAUUGAAGAACGAGGGUGUAGAGCAGAUCAUGGAAGAGAGAGUGAAACCUCUUCUGCAGCCUGCUAAUGCCAAUUUCUGGGAAAACAUAGAUUUAAGAAGCAUAGGAAAAGAAAUAAAGAAAGUGGUAGAGUCUGCUCUUAGAAAUAAGCCAGCAGAGAGACAGCCAGCAGGGCAACAGGGUUUGCCUCUCACCCCUCUGGUUCGGGGACCCCUUUCCUAGAAUUAAGGGUCCCCCUCAGCUCCCCUUAACUUAGCGGGCCCCAUCAUCCCUUAGUGCCUCUUCUCCAUCACAGACCCCCCCAUCCUGCAGGGAUUGACCACAGCACAAGCGGCUCCAGGAAUUAACUCUGCGCUCUGAGGAGGUGGCAGCAGCUAUGGCCAAAAAGCCAGAGCAGGUGCUGACGUGGCAACACCAGGAUGCUGGACCUGCCCACCCUGGGCUUGCUGGGGAAAGCUCCCGCUGUUCUCCCAGCUCAGCUCUCCUGGCCUCCAAAGCAGGUCUGGCUCUUACACUGCUGUCAGAAGAGUAAGUUGGGUUUCUCCUCCUCUUCUCAGCUCCAGCUUAGAAGCCAGCAG